RNAcentral lists this long non-coding RNA (658 nucleotides) under Cercocebus atys (sooty mangabey). Its description in RNAcentral is "lncRNA (ENSCATG00000045486.1)". The record is from RNAcentral. Lineage: Eukaryota; Metazoa; Chordata; Mammalia; Primates; Cercopithecidae.
GUGUUAUACAGGAAUAAGGGAAUAGUUGCUGGAUUUUUUUAAAAAAUAAAAUGACUUCAAUCGGUAGGUAUUUAUGGAAAAACACUAGAAUCUUUAUAAAUAUCUUUAUGCUUAAAUAUAUUUUAAUUGGCUGCACUAAUAAAAGAGAAGGACUUCAACAGAAGCCUUGGGAUUAAUAAUUACUUUGCUAAAAAUGAUGAAUUCUUGGCUGGUGUGUUUGCAGGGAUCGGGCUGUGAGUCCCUGAAUGGCUGGAACCCUGGCAGAGAGGAGCCCGGAGUGUCGAAAGAGGGGCAACACAGACCAGAUGCAUCCUACAGAGACGGGAGGACUCCGAGCUUGGGGAAGAGACAGUUAAAGCUUCCCCGUGAGAGCGAGUUAUAUCAUGCAGCGCCAGUGCCAGGUCAGCAGUCUGGCUGGAGCUGGACCGGCUGGUGGCGCCAGGCAGUGCCAAGCACCCCUGGCAGCCCUGCAGAGGGUUCUCAAAUCCAGAUUUCAUUCUGCAGUCCCGGCAGUGCUUUGACGACUGCCUCACUAAAGGAAGCUAAAAGCUGUGCCGAUGCCUCCCAGACGAGCCUCGUUGGAAGCACAGAACCUUCACGACUCGGAGCCGCUGACACGGUGACAAAGGGAGCCCUGCUCAGGAGAAAGAGUAAAUGA